RNAcentral lists this unclassified non-coding RNA (111 nucleotides) under uncultured Glomeromycotina. Its description in RNAcentral is "sequence contains ITS1". The record is from RNAcentral. Lineage: Eukaryota; Fungi; Glomeromycota.
CCGAUAUUAGCGAGCCUGACCUCAUGGGUCAUGGUCUCGUGAAAACUUGUAUUUAAAACCCCACUCUUGAAAAGAUGAAUGAAUCAAUUUAUGUAAUAUAUAAAUGAAAGA